ACUCCUACGGGAGGCAGCAGUGGGGAAUAUUGCACAAUGGGGGAAACCCUGAUGCAGCCAUGCCGCGUGUGUGAAGAAGGCCUUCGGGUUGUAAAGCACUUUCAGUAGGGAGGAAGGUAGUGUAGUUAACACCUGCAUUAUUUGACGUUACCUACAGAAGAAGCACCGGCUAACUCCGUGCCAGCAGCCGCGGUAAUACGGAGGGUGCGAGCGUUAAUCGGAAUUACUGGGCGUAAAGCGCAUGCAGGCGGCCUGUUAAGUCAGAUGUGAAAGCCCGGGGCUUAACCUCGGAAUUGCAUUUGAAACUGGCAGGCUAGAGUCUUGUAGAGGGGGGUAGAAUUUCAGGUGUAGCGGUGAAAUGCGUAGAGAUCUGAAGGAAUACCAGUGGCGAAGGCGGCCCCCUGGACAAAGACUGACGCUCAGAUGCGAAAGCGUGGGGAGCAAACAGGAUUAGAUACCCUGGUAGGAUAG
RNAcentral lists this ribosomal RNA (471 nucleotides) under uncultured bacterium. RNAcentral's name for it is "bacterial SSU rRNA". It matches the Rfam family "Bacterial small subunit ribosomal RNA", at positions 335 to 798 of the family's 1533-position model. The record is from RNAcentral.